UGGUGUAAGUGACUGUGUUGC
Molecule: non-coding RNA, 21 nt
Filed under: Arabidopsis thaliana (thale cress)
Lineage: Eukaryota; Viridiplantae; Streptophyta; Magnoliopsida; Brassicales; Brassicaceae
Source: RNAcentral